UGUUCUCGACGGAGAACACCGAGUUGGCUGAAUAAUCCUUUUCCUAAAAGGGGAUAAAGCUAACAACUAGGUUAUAGUGACCACUCAAUGAUCCGAAUGGAUUGAGAGAACUAUCGUAACUGAUAGAGUUGUUGAAUAUGUGAUAAUAGAAUUGUAUUUAAGGCACAUAUUGGAGGUAAUACAAUAAUCCUUCACUCACCUU
RNAcentral lists this non-coding RNA (202 nucleotides) under unclassified sequences. RNAcentral describes it as "manA RNA". It matches the Rfam family "manA RNA". Rfam says of the family: manA RNA has been located in 5'UTR regions of genes of mannose or fructose metabolism. The record is from RNAcentral.